AGCGUCCUACGUAAACCAGUAAGG
This 24-nucleotide non-coding RNA is filed under the name Arabidopsis thaliana (thale cress). Lineage: Eukaryota; Viridiplantae; Streptophyta; Magnoliopsida; Brassicales; Brassicaceae. The record is from RNAcentral.